This 253-nucleotide ribosomal RNA is filed under the name uncultured bacterium. Its description in RNAcentral is "partial 16S ribosomal RNA". It matches the Rfam family "Bacterial small subunit ribosomal RNA", at positions 524 to 776 of the family's 1533-position model. The record is from RNAcentral.
UACGGGGGAUCCGAGCGUUAUCCGGAUUUAUUGGGUUUAAAGGGUGCGUAGGCGGACUGAUAAGUCAGCUGUGAAAGUUUACGGCUCAACCUUGAGAUUGCAUUUGAUACUGUUAGUCUUGAGUAUAGAUGAGGUGGGCGGAAUUUGUGGUGUAGCGGUGAAAUGCUUAGAUAUCACAAGGAACUCCAAUUGCGAAGGCAGCUCACUGGGGUAUAACUGACGCUGAUGCACGAAGGUGUGGGUAUCAAACAGG